This 1302-nucleotide ribosomal RNA is filed under the name Phanerotomella sp. CXX-2005. RNAcentral's name for it is "SSU rRNA". It matches the Rfam family "Eukaryotic small subunit ribosomal RNA", at positions 60 to 1305 of the family's 1831-position model. The record is from RNAcentral. Lineage: Eukaryota; Metazoa; Arthropoda; Insecta; Hymenoptera; Braconidae.
CUGGUCUCACAUGACAUACCGCAAUUAAGUGUGAAACCGCGAAUGGCUCAUUAAAUCAGUUAUGGUUCCUUAGAUUGUACCCACAUUUACUUGGAUAACUGUGGUAAUUCUAGAGCUAAUACAUGCAAACCAGAGUCCCGACCAGAGAUGGGAGGGACGCUUUUAUUAGAUCAAAACCAAUCGGUGGCUCGUCCAUCGUUUACUUUGGUGACUCUGAAUAACUUUCAGCUGAUCGCAUGGUCUCGCACCGGCGACAAAUCUUUCAAAUGUCUGCCUUAUCAACUGUCGAUGGUAGGUUCUGCGCCUACCAUGGUUGUAACGGGUAACGGGGAAUCAGGGUUCGAUUCCGGAGAGGGAGCCUGAGAAACGGCUACCACAUCCAAGGAAGGCAGCAGGCGCGCAAAUUACCCACUCCCGGCACGGGGAGGUAGUGACGAAAAAUAACGAUACGGGACUCAUCCGAGGCCUCGUAAUCGGAAUGAGUACACUUUAAAUCCUUUAACGAGGAUCCAUUGGAGGGCAAGUCUGGUGCCAGCAGCCGCGGUAAUUCCAGCUCCAAUAGCGUAUAUUAAAGUUGUUGCGGUUAAAAAGCUCGUAGUUGAAUCUGUGUGCCACACUGUCGGUUCAYUGCUCGCAGUGUAAACUGGCAUGCUUGUGGGACGUCCUACCGGUGGGCUUAGCUUUGGUGUAACAGCUGAAGCGGUCCAAUAAUCCUGUCGCGGUGCUCUUAAUUGAGUGUCGAGAUGGGCCGGUACGUUUACUUUGAACAAAUUAGAGUGCUCAAAGCAGGCUAAUUUUGCCUGAAUACUGGUGCAUGGAAUAAUAGAAUAGGACCUCGGUUCUAUUUUGUUGGUUUUCGGAACUCCGAGGUAAUGAUUAAUAGGGACAGAUGGGGGCAUUCGUAUUGCGACGUUAGAGGUGAAAUUCUUGGAUCGUCGCAAGACGAACAGAAGCGAAAGCAUUUGCCAAAAAUGUUUUCAUUAAUCAAGAACGAAAGUUAGAGGUUCGAAGGCGAUCAGAUACCGCCCUAGUUCUAACCAUAAACGAUGCCAGCUAGCGAUCCGCCGAAGUUCCUCCGAUGACUCGGCGGGCAGCUUCCGGGAAACCAAAGCUUUUGGGUUCCGGGGGAAGUAUGGUUGCAAAGCUGAAACUUAAAGGAAUUGACGGAAGGGCACCACCAGGAGUGGAGCCUGCGGCUUAAUUUGACUCAACACGGGAAACCUCACCAGGCCCGGACACCGGAAGGAUUGACAGAUUGAUAGCUCUUUCUUGAUUCGGUGGGUGGUGGUGCAUGGCCGUCCG